This 74-nucleotide transfer RNA is filed under the name Podarcis lilfordi (Lilford's wall lizard). RNAcentral describes it as "tRNA.Lys". The stretch from base 9 to 66 matches the Rfam family "tRNA", at positions 8 to 63 of the family's 71-position model. Rfam says of the family: Transfer RNA (tRNA) molecules are approximately 80 nucleotides in length. Their secondary structure includes four short double-helical elements and three loops (D, anti-codon, and T loops). Further hydrogen bonds mediate the characteristic L-shaped molecular structure. tRNAs have two regions of fundamental functional importance: the anti-codon, which is responsible for specific mRNA codon recognition, and the 3' end, to which the tRNAs corresponding amino acid is attached (by aminoacyl-tRNA synthetases). tRNAs cope with the degeneracy of the genetic code in two manners: having more than one tRNA (with a specific anti-codon) for a particular amino acid; and 'wobble' base-pairing, i.e. permitting non-standard base-pairing at the 3rd anti-codon position. The record is from RNAcentral. Lineage: Eukaryota; Metazoa; Chordata; Lepidosauria; Squamata; Lacertidae.
GACUUCCAUAGCUCAAUUGGUAUAGCAUGAGACUCUUAUUUUCAGGGUUGUGGGUUUGAGCCCCACGUUGAGCA